Molecule: transfer RNA, 72 nt
Filed under: Lachnospiraceae bacterium
Lineage: Bacteria; Bacillati; Bacillota; Clostridia; Lachnospirales; Lachnospiraceae
Description: tRNA-Gln
Rfam family: tRNA
About the family: Transfer RNA (tRNA) molecules are approximately 80 nucleotides in length. Their secondary structure includes four short double-helical elements and three loops (D, anti-codon, and T loops).
Source: RNAcentral
AGGGCUAUCGCCAAACGGUAAGGCACUGGAUUCUGAUUCCAGCACUUCAAGGUUCGAAUCCUUGUAGCCCUG